AAGACUAUACUUCACAGGAUCAUUUCUGUAGUCAGUCUUCAAUUACUUUCAUUGCAAAAUGGAAAACCAUCAACCCGCGAUGAGGAGGUACAUCGUUUUAUCUGUAGCGUGAGGUUUUGAAUUUUGUCUUUUAUUGCCAGAUUUCUCCGGUUAAUUGGGACAAAGUUUCUUCGAUGAUCGCUCGAUUAAACGGAUAAAACGACUUCUGAGUGGU
This 214-nucleotide small nucleolar RNA is filed under the name Musca domestica (house fly). Its description in RNAcentral is "small nucleolar RNA U3". It matches the Rfam family "Small nucleolar RNA U3". From Rfam's summary of the family: Small nucleolar RNAs (snoRNAs) are involved in the processing and modification of rRNA in the nucleolus. Lineage: Eukaryota; Metazoa; Arthropoda; Insecta; Diptera; Muscidae. The record is from Rfam by way of RNAcentral.